This 229-nucleotide ribosomal RNA is filed under the name uncultured bacterium. RNAcentral describes it as "partial 16S ribosomal RNA". It matches the Rfam family "Bacterial small subunit ribosomal RNA", at positions 104 to 334 of the family's 1533-position model. The record is from RNAcentral.
CGGGGUGAGUAAUGUAUGGGGAUCUGCCUGAUGGCGGGGGAUAACUACUGGAAACGGUAGCUAAUACCGCAUAAUGUCUACGGACCAAAGCGGGGGACCUCCGGGCCUCGCGCCAUCAGAUGAACCCAUAUGGGAUUAGCUUGUAGGUAAGGUAACGGCUUACCUAGGCGACGAUCCCUAGCUGGUCUGAGAGGAUGAUCAGCCACACUGGAACUGAGACACGGUCCAG